CUAUACAUGCAAGUCGAACGGUGUCUUCGGACAUAGUGGCGCACGGGUGCGUAACACCUUUACAACCUACCUUACAUUGGGGGAUAGCCUUUCGAAACGUAGAUUAAUACCGCAUAAGACAGUAGCUGGGCAUCCAGCAGCUGUUAAAGAUUUAUCGAUGUAAGAUGGGCAUGCGACCAAUUAGUUAGUUGGCGAGGUAACGGCUCACCAAGACUAUGAUUGGUAGGGGAACUGAGAGGUCAAUCCCCCACACUGGCACUGAGAUACGGGCCAGACUCCUACGGGAGGCAGCAGUAGGGAAUAUUGGGCAAUGGACGCAAGUCUGACCCAGCCAUGCCGCGUGCAGGAUGAAGGCGUUAUGCGUCGUAAACUGCUUUUAUACAGGAAGAAACGACUCUUGCGAGAGGCAUUGACGGUACUGUAUGAAUAAGCACCGGCUAACUCCGUGCCAGCAGCCGCGGUAAUACGGAGGGUGCAAGCGUUGUCCGGAUUUAUUGGGUUUAAAGGGUGCGCAGGUGGUUUAUUAAGUCAGUGGUGAAAGACGGUCGCUCAACGAUUGCAGUGCCAUUGAAACUAGUAGACUUGAGUAAAGUAGAGGUGGGCGGAAUUGAUAGUGUAGCGGUGAAAUGCAUAGAUAUUAUCAAGAACUCCAAUUGCGUAGGCAGCUCACUUGGCUUUUACUGACACUCAUGCACGAAAGUGUGGGUAUCAAACAGGAUUAGAUACCCUGGUAGUCCACACUGUAAACGAUGAUAACUAGGUGUCGGCCGAAUCUGGUCGGUGCCACAGCGAAAGCGUUAAGUUAUCCACCUGGGGAGUACGCCGGCAACGGUGAAACUCAAAGGAAUUGACGGGGGCCCGCACAAGCGGUGGAGCAUGUGGUUUAAUUCGAUGAUACGCGAGGAACCUUACCUAGGCUAGAAUGUGAAGGAAUGAUACAGAAAUGGAUCAGUCAGCAAUGACCUGAAACAGGGUGCUGCAUGGCUGUCGUCAGCUCGUGCC
This 1002-nucleotide ribosomal RNA is filed under the name uncultured Flexibacteraceae bacterium. Its description in RNAcentral is "bacterial SSU rRNA". It matches the Rfam family "Bacterial small subunit ribosomal RNA", at positions 49 to 1066 of the family's 1533-position model. The record is from RNAcentral. Lineage: Bacteria; Pseudomonadati; Bacteroidota; Cytophagia; Cytophagales; Cytophagaceae.